UACUCCCAGAAAGCAAAGGACGACCGAAAAGUCAACUAGCGUGAUGGCAAUUUCUACGAAUUAUGCUGGGCAACAGUCAACGAUAACUCAGCAUGAACCUACACCGCCCUUUAUCACC
Strongylocentrotus purpuratus (purple sea urchin) is the source of this 118-nucleotide long non-coding RNA. RefSeq lists it as uncharacterized. The transcript is spliced from 2 exons. The record is from RefSeq and is a predicted model, not a curated record. NCBI's taxonomy places the organism in Eukaryota, Metazoa, Echinodermata, Echinoidea, Camarodonta, Strongylocentrotidae.